AUUUAUAUAGUAUAUUAGUAUAUUUGACUUCCAAUCAUAAGGUCUAUAAUUUAGUGUAAAUA
RNAcentral lists this transfer RNA (62 nucleotides) under Pipunculus sp. XL-2018. RNAcentral describes it as "tRNA-Gly". Lineage: Eukaryota; Metazoa; Arthropoda; Insecta; Diptera; Pipunculidae. The record is from RNAcentral.